This 674-nucleotide ribosomal RNA is filed under the name Enterobacter sp. EECC-585. Its description in RNAcentral is "bacterial SSU rRNA". It matches the Rfam family "Bacterial small subunit ribosomal RNA", at positions 84 to 754 of the family's 1533-position model. Lineage: Bacteria; Pseudomonadati; Pseudomonadota; Gammaproteobacteria; Enterobacterales; Enterobacteriaceae. The record is from RNAcentral.
UUGGGUGACGAGUGGCGGACGGGUGAGUAAUGUCUGGGAAACUGCCUGAUGGAGGGGGAUAACUACUGGAAACGGUAGCUAAUACCGCAUAACGUCGCAAGACCAAAGAGGGGGACCUUCGGGCCUCUUGCCAUCAGAUGUGCCCAGAUGGGAUUAGCUAGUAGGUGGGGUAAUGGCUCACCUAGGCGACGAUCCCUAGCUGGUCUGAGAGGAUGACCAGCCACACUGGAACUGAGACACGGUCCAGACUCCUACGGGAGGCAGCAGUGGGGAAUAUUGCACAAUGGGCGCAAGCCUGAUGCAGCCAUGCCGCGUGUAUGAAGAAGGCCUUCGGGUUGUAAAGUACUUUCAGCGGGGAGGAAGGCGAUACGGUUAAUAACCGUGUCGAUUGACGUUACUCGCAGAAGAAGCACCGGCUAACUCCGUGCCAGCAGCCGCGGUAAUACGGAGGGUGCAAGCGUUAAUCGGAAUUACUGGGCGUAAAGCGCACGCAGGCGGUCUGUCAAGUCGGAUGUGAAAUCCCCGGGCUCAACCUGGGAACUGCAUUCGAAACUGACAGGCUAGAGUCUUGUAGAGGGGGGUAGAAUUCCAGGUGUAGCGGUGAAAUGCGUAGAGAUCUGGAGGAAUACCGGUGGCGAAGGCGGCCCCCUGGACAAAGACUGACGCUCAGGUGC